AGAGUUUGAUCCUGGCUCAGGAUGAACGCUAGCGGCAGGCUUAACACAUGCAAGUCGAGGGGUAUAGUUCUUCGGAACUAGAGACCGGCGCACGGGUGCGUAACGCGUAUGCAAUCUACCUUUUACAGGGGAAUAGCCCAGAGAAAUUUGGAUUAAUGCCUCAUAGUAUAUAUCAUUCGCAUGUUUGAUAUAUUAAAGUUCCAACGGUAAAAGAUGAGCAUGCGUCCCAUUAGUUAGUUGGUAAGGUAACGGCUUACCAAGACGAUGAUGGGUAGGGGUCCUGAGAGGGAGAUCCCCCACACUGGUACUGAGACACGGACCAGACUCCUACGGGGAGGCAGCAGUGAGGAAUAUUGGACAAUGGGCGCAAGCCUGAUCCAGCCAUGCCGCGUGCAGGAAGACGGUCCUAUGGAUUGUAAACUGCUUUUGUACGGGAAGAAACAUCACUACGUGUAGUGACUUGACGGUACCGUAAGAAUAAGGAUCGGCUAACUCCGUGCCAGCAGCCGCGGUAAUACGGAGGAUCCAAGCGUUAUCCGGAAUCAUUGGGUUUAAAGGGUCCGUAGGCGGUUUAAUAAGUCAGUGGUGAAAUCUGGUCGCUCAACGAUCAAACGGCCAUUGAUACUGUUAAACUUGAAUUACAAGGAAGUAACUAGAAUAUGUAGUGUAGCGGUGAAAUGCUUAGAUAUUACAUGGAAUACCAAUUGCGAAGGCAGGUUACUACUUGUGGAUUGACGCUGAUGGACGAAAGCGUGGGGAGCGAACAGGAUUAGAUACCCUGGUAGUCCACGCCGUAAACGAU
RNAcentral lists this ribosomal RNA (802 nucleotides) under microbial mat metagenome. RNAcentral's name for it is "bacterial SSU rRNA". It matches the Rfam family "Bacterial small subunit ribosomal RNA", at positions 8 to 810 of the family's 1533-position model. The record is from RNAcentral.